UGGUCUUGCUGCAUCCUAAGGGCCAAGUCUGGAUCUAAGAUGAAUUUGCUACCCGUUGAAGGAAGACUGACUCAGUGUUGGUGAGAUAUCACCUGUAUUCUGGGAAGUUCUGCGUGUCCUGGCGCCCAUAUUCCAUGCUGGGAGAUCUUUCUGAGAACAUGGACCUUUCAGCCCCUACUCAGCAGCAGCAACAAGCAGUUGGAACUCCAGAACAGCUGUACCUCAAGCCUGAUGUGACUCAGAAGAGUGGUGCAUGCAAUGAAGGAGGCCUCUUAGGGCAUAAUGACUAGCUUUAUGUAUCCCCCUGCCUGGGUAGCCAGACCUGGGUGUUCUAACUGGACCUUGAGGCUGCUGCACUGGUGAACAUGAGAGGCUGAAAUAAAGCAUGAACUCAGUC
Non-coding RNA from Callorhinus ursinus (northern fur seal), 397 nucleotides. Lineage: Eukaryota; Metazoa; Chordata; Mammalia; Carnivora; Otariidae. The record is from RefSeq and is a predicted model, not a curated record.